RNAcentral lists this ribosomal RNA (274 nucleotides) under uncultured bacterium. Its description in RNAcentral is "partial 16S ribosomal RNA". It matches the Rfam family "Bacterial small subunit ribosomal RNA", at positions 523 to 796 of the family's 1533-position model. The record is from RNAcentral.
AUACGGAGGGUGCAAACGUUGUUGGGAAUUACUGGGCGUAAAGCGCGCGUAGGCGGUUUGUUAAGUCAGAUGUGAAAGUCCACAGCUCAACUGUGGAAGUGCAUUUGAAACUGGCAGACUUGAGUACUGGAGGGGGUGGUGGAAUUCCCGGUGUAGAGGUGAAAUUCGUAGAUAUCGGGAGGAAUACCGGUGGCGAAGGCGACCACCUGGCCAGAUACUGACGCUGAGGUGCGAAAGCGUGGGGAGCAAACAGGAUUAGAAACCCUAGUAGUCC